UACGUAGGGUGCAAGCGUUGUCCGGAAUUAUUGGGCGUAAAGAGCUCGUAGGCGGUCUGUCGCGUCUGCUGUGAAAACUCAGGGCUUAACCCUGAGCUUGCAGUGGGUACGGGCAGACUAGAGUGCGGUAGGGGAGACUGGAAUUCCUGGUGUAGCGGUGAAAUGCGCAGAUAUCAGGAGGAACACCGGUGGCGAAGGCAGAUCUCUGGGCCGUAACUGACGCUGAGGAGCGAAAGCAUGGGGAGCGAACAGG
Molecule: ribosomal RNA, 253 nt
Filed under: uncultured bacterium
Lineage: Bacteria
Description: partial 16S ribosomal RNA
Rfam family: Bacterial small subunit ribosomal RNA
Source: RNAcentral